Molecule: non-coding RNA, 32 nt
Filed under: Mus musculus (house mouse)
Lineage: Eukaryota; Metazoa; Chordata; Mammalia; Rodentia; Muridae
Source: RNAcentral
UGAAAAUAAGAAAACCUGGAAGCCAUAAUGUA